GACGAACGCUGGCGGCGUGCUUAACACAUGCAAGUCGAACGGAAAGGCCCUGCUUUUGUGGGGUGCUCGAGUGGCGAACGGGUGAGUAACACGUGAGUAACCUGCCCUUGACUUUGGGAUAACUUCAGGAAACUGGGGCUAAUACCGGAUAGGAGCUCCUGCUGCAUGGUGGGGGUUGGAAAGUUUCGGCGGUUGGGGAUGGACUCGCGGCUUAUCAGCUUGUUGGUGGGGUAGUGGCUUACCAAGGCUUUGACGGGUAGCCGGCCUGAGAGGGUGACCGGCCACAUUGGGACUGAGAUACGGCCCAGACUACUACGGGAGGCAGCAGUGGGGAAUAUUGCACAAUGGGCGGAAGCCAGAUGCAGCAACGCCGCGUGCGGGAUGACGGCCUUCGAGUUAUAAACCGCUUUCGCAUGUGACGAAGCGUGAGUGACGGUAAUGGGUAAAGAAGCACCGGCUAACUACGUG
RNAcentral lists this ribosomal RNA (468 nucleotides) under uncultured bacterium. RNAcentral's name for it is "partial 16S ribosomal RNA". It matches the Rfam family "Bacterial small subunit ribosomal RNA", at positions 28 to 507 of the family's 1533-position model. The record is from RNAcentral.